This 558-nucleotide long non-coding RNA is filed under the name Equus caballus (horse). Its description in RNAcentral is "lncRNA (ENSECAG00000030873.3)". The record is from RNAcentral. Lineage: Eukaryota; Metazoa; Chordata; Mammalia; Perissodactyla; Equidae.
AAAGAGAAGAGUGUGCUGAGUUUGAAUGAGCACUGAUAGAACGCAUUUACGUAAAAAAGGAUAACAGGAGUGCCUAUUACAUCCUACUUCGAUUAAUUAAUGCAUUUAUUCAAGAAAUCCUGGUGGUGUCAUGAGUUAAUGAUAUGGAAAGAUAGUGAUUUUUGAGCAUAUGAUCUUCAAAGUCAAAUACCAGACCCUGGAUCAUGGUAACCCUUGGAGACCCAAUCUCCAUGGAGACCUCAUGGAGAUAGAAACCACACCAGUAAUUUGAAGAGGGAAAAUUUAAUAUGAAGAAUGUUAACUUGUGAAAGGUAGUUAACAACUAAAAGAAGUGGAAAAGGACUCUGUGAGGUAAAGAAGUAGCAACUACAGAAAGCAGCACCCGCUCCUCGGCUGAGAGAGAGUGGACAAGGAAGGAACUUAGAAAUUUAGAGGAAGCUCCUCCCUCACCCCAGGCUGGGGUUCAGAACCUCUGAGGAGCGGGUACACGCAGCCCACUGGUGCUGGAGAAACUUGCUGGAGGGUAUAGAUGGAUGCUGACCACUACUGGCCCUGCAC